GGAAAUGUGCCUGAAACUUAAGGGCAACUUUGAUAGAGUUGAAAACAGGGGCUAAAAUCCCCUCAUUUCCU
Molecule: transfer RNA, 71 nt
Filed under: Anolis duellmani (Duellman's pigmy anole)
Lineage: Eukaryota; Metazoa; Chordata; Lepidosauria; Squamata; Anolidae
Description: tRNA-Ile
Rfam family: tRNA
About the family: Transfer RNA (tRNA) molecules are approximately 80 nucleotides in length. Their secondary structure includes four short double-helical elements and three loops (D, anti-codon, and T loops).
Source: RNAcentral